RNAcentral lists this ribosomal RNA (405 nucleotides) under uncultured Chloroflexota bacterium. Its description in RNAcentral is "bacterial SSU rRNA". It matches the Rfam family "Bacterial small subunit ribosomal RNA", at positions 355 to 776 of the family's 1533-position model. Lineage: Bacteria; Bacillati; Chloroflexota. The record is from RNAcentral. RNAcentral also lists the same sequence under 1 other name.
CAGGGAAUCUUGCGCAAUGGGCGAAAGCCUGACGCAGCGACACCGUGUGGGGGAAGAAGGCCUCUGGGUUGUAAACCCCUUUUCUCGGGGAAGAGAGAGGACGGUACCCGAGGAAUAAGGUUCGGCUAACUACGUGCCAGCAGCCGCGGUAAUACGUAGGAACCGAGCGUUGUCCGGAUUUACUGGGCGUAAAGAGCGCGUAGGCGGCUCGUCAAGUCUCAUGUGAAAUCUCCCGGCUCAACUGGGAGGGGUCAUGGGAAACUGGCGGGCUAGAGGGCAGUAGAGGAAAGUGGAAUUCCCGGAGUAGUGGUGGAAUGCGUAGAUACCGGGAGGAACACCAGUGGCGAAGGCGGCUUUCUGGGCUGCCCCUGACGCUGAGGCGCGAGAGCGUGGGGAGCGAACCGG